Molecule: ribosomal RNA, 428 nt
Filed under: uncultured archaeon
Lineage: Archaea
Description: bacterial SSU rRNA
Rfam family: Archaeal small subunit ribosomal RNA
Source: RNAcentral
UACCGGCUCUCCGAGUGGUAGGGAUGAUUAUUGGGCUUAAAGCGUCCGUAGCCGGCUUAGCAAGUCUCCUGUUAAAUUCAGCGACCUAAUCGUUGAGCCGCGGGAGAUACUACUAGGCUAGGAGGCGGGAGAGGUCGACGGUACUUCCGGGGUAGGGGUGAAAUCCUAUAAUCCCGGGAGGACCACCAGUGGCGAAGGCUGUCGACUAGAACGCGCUCGACGGUGAGGGACGAAAGCUGGGGGAGCGAACCGGAUUAGAUACCCGGGUAGUCCCAGCUGUAAACGAUGCGGGCUAGGUGUUGGGGUGGCUACGGGCCACUUCAGUGCCGCAGGGAAACCAUUAAGCCCGCCGCCUGGGGAGUACGGCCGCAAGGCUGAAACUUAAAGGAAUUGGCGGGGAGCACCACAAGGCGUGAAGCUUGCGGUUC